UACGUAGGGUGCGAGCGUUGUCCGGAAUUAUUGGGCGUAAAGAGCUCGUAGGCGGUCUGUCGCGUCUGCUGUGAAAACCCGAGGCUCAACCUCGGGCCUGCAGUGGGUACGGGCAGACUAGAGUGCGGUAGGGGAGAAUGGAAUUCCUGGUGUAGCGGUGGAAUGCGCAGAUAUCAGGAGGAACACCGAUGGCGAAGGCAGUUCUCUGGGCCGUAACUGACGCUGAGACGCGAAAGCGUGGGGAGCAAACAGG
This 253-nucleotide ribosomal RNA is filed under the name uncultured bacterium. RNAcentral's name for it is "partial 16S ribosomal RNA". It matches the Rfam family "Bacterial small subunit ribosomal RNA", at positions 524 to 776 of the family's 1533-position model. The record is from RNAcentral.